Molecule: long non-coding RNA, 1325 nt
Organism: Equus caballus (horse)
Lineage: Eukaryota; Metazoa; Chordata; Mammalia; Perissodactyla; Equidae
Source: Ensembl
GACCAGAAGGAAAACAAUAAAAACAUAGAAUUAAGUCCUGAGGACUUGGAAUUAGGUAAAGUAACUGAUAAUGAGUUCAGAGCAGCUAUAAUCAAAACAUUCAAUGAGGUAGAGAGAAAGAUAGAGAAACAAGCCGAGUUCUGGAAUUACUUCACAAAAGAGAUUGAAAUCAUAAAGAAGAAUCAAACAGAAUUACUAGAGAUGAAAAACACAAUGGACCAGAUAAAACAGAAGGCGGAUUCCCUGAACGCCCGUGUAGACACCACAGAAGAGCAAAUUAACAUAACUGAAGAUAGACAGACUGAAUGGCUCCAGAGGAAGAAAGAGAACUAAGAAUUUAAAAAAAUGAGGAAAAUCUCCAAGAGAUAAUGGAUUCAAUGAGGAGUAAGAACAUAAGGAUCAUAGGAAUUCCCGAGAAUGUGGAAAAGGAAAAUGGAGCAGAAAGUGUGCUUAACGAAAUUAUUUAAGAGAACUUCCCAAAUCUAGGAAUUGACAGAGAAAUGUGUGUAGAGGAAAGUUUCAGAUCUCCUAGAUUUGUCAAUGUAAAAAGACCUACUGCAAGGCAUGUAUUAGUAAAACUGGCAAAAGUCAAAGACCAAAAGUAUUAAGGGCAGCAAAGCAGAAGAAAAUAACCUACAACAGAACCCCUAUCAGGCUUCAGAUUUCUCAGCAGAAACCUUAGAGGCUAGGAGAGAGCAGAAUGAUAUAUUCAAAAUUCUGAAAGACAAAAACUUUCAGCCGAGAAUACUCUACCCAGCAAAAAUAUCCUUCAGAUAUGUUGGAGAAAUAAAAACUUUUCCAGAUAAAUAAAAGCUGAAGGAGUUCAUUGCCACAAAACCUCCCAUAAAAGAAAUGAUCACGAAGGCCCUCAUACCUCAAAAAAAAGGGUUAACCAAGCCUUGAGCGAGGAGAUAGACAGACAAAAACAGAAUAUUACAACUCUCUAUCACAACAGGUUAGCAAACAAUUAUAACGUUAAAGAAAAAGGGAAGGAAAACAUCAAAAAUAACUAUAAUCACUUCAUUUUAACCAAAACUCACAAAACGGAUUAAGUUGUGACAACAAUAACUCAGGGAAGAAGGAAGAGAUGGAACCUGCUCAGACUAAGAAAAUAAGAGGCUAUCAGAAAAUGGACUAUUUCAUCUACAAGAUCUUUUAUACAAACCUCACGAUAACUACUAAACAAAAACUCAGAACACAGACACGAAUGAUAAAUAAAGACAAAACUGAGAAAACCCUCAUAGAGAGUCGCCAAACUUAAUUCACAGUCAGAAAUACACCGGAUUGAGAAACAAGGGAAAUACAGAACAACCAGAAAACAAGUG